UACUAACUCUGGCGGCGUGCCUAAUACAUGCAAGUUGAGCGCUGAAGGUUGGUACUUGUACCGACUGGAUGAGCAGCGAACGGGUGAGUAACGCGUGGGGAAUCUGCCUUUGAGCGGGGGACAACAUUUGGAAACGAAUGCUAAUACCGCAUAAAAACUUUAAACACAAGUUUUAAGUUUGAAAGAUGCAAUUGCAUCACUCAAAGAUGAUCCCGCGUUGUAUUAGCUAGUUGGUGAGGUAAAGGCUCACCAAGGCGAUGAUACAUAGCCGACCUGAGAGGGUGAUCGGCCACAUUGGGACUGAGACACGGCCCAAACUCCUACGGGAGGCAGCAGUAGGGAAUCUUCGGCAAUGGACGAAAGUCUGACCGAGCAACGCCGCGUGAGUGAAGAAGGUUUUCGGAUCGUAAAACUCUGUUGGUAGAGAAGAACGUUGGUGAGAGUGGAAAGCUCAUCAAGUGACGGUAACUACCCAGAAAGGGACGGCUAACUACGUG
RNAcentral lists this ribosomal RNA (497 nucleotides) under uncultured bacterium. Its description in RNAcentral is "partial 16S ribosomal RNA". It matches the Rfam family "Bacterial small subunit ribosomal RNA", at positions 29 to 507 of the family's 1533-position model. The record is from RNAcentral.